Long non-coding RNA from Hippopotamus amphibius kiboko, 1375 nucleotides. RefSeq lists it as uncharacterized. The transcript is spliced from 3 exons. Lineage: Eukaryota; Metazoa; Chordata; Mammalia; Artiodactyla; Hippopotamidae. The record is from RefSeq and is a predicted model, not a curated record.
GUCUCCUUGAGGUGAGAUCUCAUGACAGGCUCAGGACUCUGUGUCCAGAAGGGGACUCUGACAUUUUCUGCACAAGCUACUGAAGAAGGGUGAUGCAACUUAAUGAGAGAAAAGUCUCCAUGAAGGACAGUGAGUUGAAGCUCGGACGGUGAGUUGAAGCUCAGACUAUGAUUCUACUCUACUCUCCAAGGCACUACUUUUCCAUGAAGCCUUCCUUAACCAUUCCAGCCUGCCAUUCAUCUUUUGAAGACCACGUGGCUUAAGGCUCUCUCUCUGGCCUGAAAGACAGAUAUCCUGGGACUUCCAAAUAUCAACUCAAGCAUAAGUGUCUUGCCUCGCCAACUAGACUGCAAAUCCCUGGAGAAAGAUACAUCUGGUGGUUUCCUCUUGGUCCCAGAACCAUGUGUAGAGUUACUUUAUUUAUGUGUACAUCAAAUUGAACUGGUCCUAUGAUUCCCAGUGUGAAAUGUAAAAUGGAGACUGAGACAGUGGCUUCACACACAAGCUGGAAGAAGGAAGAUGGUGUCUAAAUGAGACAGAAAAGUAAAAAGUAAAAUAGCUUAGAAGAAUUUUAGUCUAAGCACUGUCAGAAUCUUCCAGGCUACAAGUAUUAUGAAUUACUGGAAACAAAUUAUCAUAAAGGCCCCAGACAGUAUCUGUUUAUUUAUUUUUAAGACUAGUCAGUUAUUUGGCUAAGUGUAGCUUGCUUUAGGGGAAGGUGACUACAGGAAAACUCUGCUAUAGGUUUCUUGCAGUCAUAGGCUUAUGAGGGUGAUAGAGGUUGGUGGGGUAGAGGUGGAGAAAUGGAACACUGUCGCUACAAGAUUUCUGUAACUUCUGUUUGCUUGCACAGAAAGAGGCUAUUUUACACUCCCUUGGCAUCAUAGAAGGACAAUGGCAAAUCAUGCUGUAGAAGUACGAGAUCUUUGUCAAAGCUCAAGAUGCUCCUUCACGUCAAGAGAUUUCUCCAUUAAAAGGAAACCCCUGCUUAUUCUUUAGGGCUUUCCCUCCAUAAGAGCAAGCUUACAGAACCACCACAGAGCUGAUAUAAUCCACACAUCCCACUCUUCCAUGUCUCUAGUCUCUUAUACCUGGUGAUUGCAGGAAAUCGUUAAUCCAAACAAUUGGAAAGCGUCUGGGUCCAAUAAUAUGUUGUCCUCCGACUUACAUAGUCAUUGUAUUCUAAGUUUACUAAUAUCCUCACAUUUAACAUAGAUGAAGAACAUUAUCUGCUCUGUUCAGUUGAAAAAGAGAAAGUAGAUACUAUAAAUGCAAAGAAUACCUUGGAUCAUUCUUUUCAAGCUACAUUUUUGUUUGAAUUUUAUAGUUUAGUCCUUGAGGUUUGGGGGUACUUUUUCCAAAUACAGGAAAUUGC